Molecule: long non-coding RNA, 1165 nt
Organism: Phacochoerus africanus (Common warthog)
Lineage: Eukaryota; Metazoa; Chordata; Mammalia; Artiodactyla; Suidae
Exons: 3
Source: RefSeq, a predicted model, not a curated record
ACCCUUAGCUCUUCUCUCUCCUCCAGAGAGGAGGCAGUGGUCUCCUCAUUUGAAGGCUAAGCCCCCGACCUGGCCUCCAGGCAGCCCUCUGCACUCCAGGGAGAGCCUCUUCCUGUGGAGGUGCCGACAGGACUGCAUGUGAGCCCAGAAGCACACGUGGUCACCUUGCCACCUGAAGGGGAACGCGCCUGCGUGCUGACAGCUGAGCUGGGAGAUGCAGAGAGCGAGUUCUGACCACCUCCCACCAAGUGCCGCCCUGCUUGAAUCUGACUCACUCGUGGACUCUCCCUUAGACUAGGACACCACCAUGGAGGGGCCAGUUGCACUGGGUCUGCAGCCUGUGACUUUCCUGCACACCACACCACCUCUUAGCUGAGCAGCCCUCUGCUUCCAUGCAGAAGCUGGAGGCCCCAGGUCUGCUGGCCCCGGAGAAGCUGGCUGCUGUCCCUUGGGAACGAGUCAUGAGCGGGGAAACAGCAGUCCUGUUGGACUCUAAUCCACGAGGCCAGGAUCGGCUGCCUUCGGUUUCCAUAAAGUUGCCAGUGGGAUGACUACUUCUCUUCCAUAUUCUACGAUGACUGUCAUUAGAGAAAUACACACGAGUGUGCGCAGAUCCACACCCGCUCGGCCUGUUUGCUCUUCCUCCAAAUCAGGGUCUCGGUUCACCACUACGAUGAGAUCCUCUCUCAUCUUCCAUGGCUGCCAUCAUCUCUCAUCUGGACCCCGCAAGCACCUCCUGCCUCUGUCCUGGCCUCCCAGCUUCCCAUCCACGCACCAUUCUCCCCAAUUCACAAAUCCUCCAGAAAUACCUUGUAGUAUCAUCCAUCACAUCUGCUUACAUAUCCUGAUGCACAGACUACACCCCAGGAUGACUGCCUGAGAGUCUUGGAGCAGGGUCCAAGCUUUGGUGUGUUCUGAGGCUCCCCGGGUGAUGCCAGUGGAAGUGCUCGAGGUUGUGGUGCAACAGAGGUGGACAAAACCCACACAUUUCCUAUGGCAGGUGGAAUAAUGUCCCUCCCAAAGAUAUCCAGGUCCCAAUCCCUGGAACCUGGGAAUGUUACUCUCGCAUAUGUAAAAAAGAAUUUUGCAGACGUGAUUAAGCUAAGGCCCAUCCUCAUAUAUCUGGAUAAAACUGUAAUUCAAAAUAGAACUACCAUUUGAUCCA